Molecule: unclassified non-coding RNA, 232 nt
Filed under: uncultured fungus
Lineage: Eukaryota; Fungi
Description: sequence contains ITS1, 5.8S rRNA gene
Rfam family: 5.8S ribosomal RNA (bases 184-232)
Source: RNAcentral
UCUCCGUAGGUGAACCUGCGGAGGGAUCAUUACUGAGUGAGGGCUCACGCCCGACCUCCAACCCUUUGUGAACACAUCUUGUUGCUUCGGGGGCGACCCUGCCGGCACUCGGUCGCCGGGCGACCCCGGAGGUGCACCCAACUCUGCAUCUUUGCGUCGGAGUAUUGAAAGCAAAUCAAUCAAAACUUUCAACAACGGAUCUCUUGGUUCUGGCAUCGAUGAAGAACGCAGC